RNAcentral lists this ribosomal RNA (211 nucleotides) under uncultured bacterium. RNAcentral describes it as "partial 16S ribosomal RNA". It matches the Rfam family "Bacterial small subunit ribosomal RNA", at positions 281 to 507 of the family's 1533-position model. The record is from RNAcentral.
GGGCAGCCAGCUCCGGCCGCCUGGCGGCCGCGGGAUUCGAUUGGCGGGGCGGGGCCUACGGGAGGCAGCAGCAGGGAAUAUUGCACAAUGGGCGAAAGCCUGAUGCAGCGACGCCGCGUGAGGGAUGAAGGCUCUCGAGUUGUAAACCUCUUUCAGUAGGGACGAAGCGAAAGUGACGGUACCUACAGAAGAAGCCCCAGCCAACUACGUG